GCCGGGAUGGCGGAACUGGCAGACGCAGCGGACUCAAAAUCCGCCGGCCCUUGCGGCCGUGGGGGUUCGACCCCCCCUCCCGGCACCA
Molecule: transfer RNA, 88 nt
Filed under: Acidobacterium capsulatum ATCC 51196
Lineage: Bacteria; Pseudomonadati; Acidobacteriota; Terriglobia; Terriglobales; Acidobacteriaceae
Also listed under: 2 other names
Description: tRNA-Leu (CAA) (tRNA-Leu-CAA-1-1)
Rfam family: tRNA
About the family: Transfer RNA (tRNA) molecules are approximately 80 nucleotides in length.
Source: RNAcentral